RNAcentral lists this ribosomal RNA (509 nucleotides) under uncultured bacterium. Its description in RNAcentral is "partial 16S ribosomal RNA". It matches the Rfam family "Bacterial small subunit ribosomal RNA", at positions 28 to 506 of the family's 1533-position model. The record is from RNAcentral.
GACGAACGCUGGCGGCGUGCUUAACACAUGCAAGUCGAACGAAGAGCGAUGGAAGCUUGCUUCUAUCAAUCUUAGUGGCGAACGGGUGAGUAACGCGUAAUCAACCUGCCCUUCAGAGGGGGACAACAGUUGGAAACGACUGCUAAUACCGCAUACGAUCUGACCUCGGCAUCGAGGAUAGAUGAAAGGUGGCCUCUAUUUAUAAGCUAUCACUGAAGGAGGGGAUUGCGUCUGAUUAGCUAGUUGGAGGGGUAACGGCCCACCAAGGCGAUGAUCAGUAGCCGGUCUGAGGGGCAGACGGGCCAAUUGGGGACUGAAACACGGCCCAGACUCCUACGGGGGGGCGCAGUGGGGAAUCUCCCGAAAUGGACGAAAGUCUGACGGAGCAACCCCGCGGGGGGGAUGCCGGCCUUCGGGUUUUAAAGCUGUUUUAUCCGGGACGAAAGGCCUUCUUGCGAAUAGUUAGAAGGAUUGACGGUACCGGAAUAGAAAGCCACGGCUAACUACGU